AGCAUAUCAAUAAGCGGAGGAAAAGAAACUAACAAGGAUUCCCCUAGUAACUGCGAGUGAAGCGGGAAAAGCUCAAAUUUAAAAUCUGGCGGUCUUUGGCUGUCCGAGUUGUAAUCUAGAGAAGCGUUAUCCGCGCUGGACCGUGUACAAGUCUCCUGGAAUGGAGCGUCAUAGAGGGUGAGAAUCCCGUCUUUGACACGGACUGCCAGGGCUUUGUGAUGCGCUCUCAAAGAGUCGAGUUGUUUGGGAAUGCAGCUCAAAAUGGGUGGUAAAUUCCAUCUAAAGCUAAAUAUUGGCGAGAGACCGAUAGCGAACAAGUACCGUGAGGGAAAGAUGAAAAGAACUUUGGAAAGAGAGUUAAACAGUACGUGAAAUUGCUGAAAGGGAAACGCUUGAAGUCAGUCGCGUUGGCCAGGGAUCAACCUUGCUUUUGCUUGGUGUACUUUCUGGUUGACGGGUCAGCAUCAAUUUUGACCAUUGGAAAAAGGUCAGGGGAAUGUGGCAUCUUCGGAUGUGUUAUAGCCCUUGGUUGUAUACAAUGGUUGGGAUUGAGGAACUCAGCACGCCGCAAGGCCGGGUUUUAACCACGUACGUGCUUAGGAUGCUGGCAUAAUGGCUUUAAUCGACCCGUCUUGAAACACGGACCAAGGAGUCUAACAUGCCUGCGAGUGUUUGGGUGGAAAACCCGAGCGCGUAAUGAAAGUGAAAGUUGAGAUCCCUGUCGUGGGGAGCAUCGACGCCCGGACCUGACCUUUUGUGACGGUUCCGCGGUAGAGCAUGUAUGUUGGGACCCGAAAGAUGGUGAACUAUGCCUGAAUAGGGUGAAGCCAGAGGAAACUCUGGUGGAGGCUCGUAGCGAUUCUGACGUGCAAAUCGAUCGUCAAAUUUGGGUAUAGGGGCGAAAGACUAAUCGAACCAUCUAGUAGCUG
Molecule: ribosomal RNA, 929 nt
Filed under: Thaxterogaster laquellus
Lineage: Eukaryota; Fungi; Basidiomycota; Agaricomycetes; Agaricales; Cortinariaceae
Description: LSU rRNA
Rfam family: Eukaryotic large subunit ribosomal RNA
Source: RNAcentral